AACGCUGGCGGCGUGCUUAACACAUGCAAGUCGAACGGAGUUAACAUGUGAGCGGAGAGUGCUUGCACUUAACAAUCUUUUGUUAACUUAGUGGCGGACGGGUGAGUAACGCGUGGGUAACCUGCCUCAUACAGGGGGAUAACACUUAGAAAUAGGUGCUAAUACCGCAUAAGCGCACAGUAUCGCAUGAUACAGUGUGAAAAACUCCGGUGGUAUGAGCUUGCGCCUGAUUAGCUAGUUGGUGUGGUAACGGCAUACCAAGGCGACGAUCAGUAGCUGUGCUGAGAGGCAGAACAGCCACAUUGGGACUGAGAUACGGCCCAGACUCCUACGGGAGGCAGCAGGUGGGGAAUAUUGCACAAUGGGGGAAACCCUGAUGCAGCGACGCCGCGUGAGUGAAGAAGUAUUUCGGUAUGUAAAGCUCCAUCAGCAGGGAAGAAAAUGACGGUACCUGACUAAGAAGCCCCGGCUAACUACGUG
RNAcentral lists this ribosomal RNA (480 nucleotides) under uncultured bacterium. RNAcentral describes it as "bacterial SSU rRNA". It matches the Rfam family "Bacterial small subunit ribosomal RNA", at positions 32 to 507 of the family's 1533-position model. The record is from RNAcentral.